AAGGGUUGGUCUGUUCGCCCAUUAAAGCGGUACGUGAGUUGGGUUUAGACCGUCGUGAGACAGGUCGGUCCCUAUCUGGUGUGGGUUUAGGAUGACUGAGGAGACUCUUUCCUAGUACGAGAGGAUUGGAAAGAACGUACCUCUGGUGUGCCAGUUGUCGCGCUAGCGGCAUAGCUGGGUAGCUAAGUACGGAUCGGAUAAGCGCUGAAAGCAUCUAAGCGCGAAGCCAACUCCAAGACUGGUCAUCCCAUGAGACACCUAGUAGACCACUAGGUUGAUAGGCCGGGAGUGUAAGGACGGCAACGUCUUCAGCUGACCGGUACUAACCAGUCGAUCGGCUUAAUCUCAUUUU
Molecule: ribosomal RNA, 352 nt
Filed under: Planctomycetota bacterium
Lineage: Bacteria; Pseudomonadati; Planctomycetota
Description: partial 23S ribosomal RNA
Rfam family: Bacterial large subunit ribosomal RNA
Source: RNAcentral